This 1053-nucleotide ribosomal RNA is filed under the name Triticum aestivum (bread wheat). Its description in RNAcentral is "partial small subunit ribosomal RNA". The record is from RNAcentral. Lineage: Eukaryota; Viridiplantae; Streptophyta; Magnoliopsida; Poales; Poaceae.
UAACCAAAACAAAAGGCAAGGAGCGACUAGACCAACCACAUUAGCAGGCGCUUAAACAACGCCUAAACCCGCAAAGACAAACCGGCGUCCAAGAACUACUUCGACUUGUUGCUCUGCCAGUGGUAGCUCGAGUUCUUGCCGUGAUGGCAGGUGCCGUGGUAGUGGCCACAACUGUAUUCGUACUUAUGAGUAGACUUCUGGCAUUUCGAGUGUUACUUUCCCUUCUUAGGACAUUGGGAACUAGUGUAGUCACACUCUCCUUUGUUGUAAGCCAUGAUGUAGGAGGGACUAUCGAAUUUGGACCUUUGCAACGACCAACUCCUAUGGGGGUCCCAGUUCAGAUUCUUCGGUUGAUGUCCCUUCGGAUACCCAGCCCCAGCGCCUGCGCCGGCACCCGCACCAGCCCCGGCCCCCGCGACUCGAAAUAACAAGGGACGAAACCUUCGAGCACGUCACGUUCAGGGAUGUCGCAUUGGACGAAGGAGACGCUCGAUACAGCUUCUUACAAAGACAAGACAAUCUUCUACAGUUAGAUUCAUGCACAACUACGCCUUAGUAGAGCGGACAAACUGGAUACAAGAAUAUAUACAAGCAUUACGUAAAAGAGCCCUUAAAGUGAACGUCCGGAGGUCUGAAAACUUUACGAUUCACCGUAGGACACGACAAUGAACAAUGGGACCUUAAGAACGGGAACACGAAAACGCAUCGUCAUUCAACACAAACUCAUCUUCGACUGGGAAAAAGAAGACACCGUUACGAACUCUAAUUUGACCCGACCCCCGUAACCAUAAAGUCUAAUGCGCAACUGUAUAAGUAGACUUAGUACGUGUACACUUGUAAAGAACGGACAUACUACGCUACAAUCCGAACUAGUAAAAGACACUAAACUAAAAGACGGGCCACACCAAAUCGAAGGAUCAUAUUCAAACCUUGUUUACCUUAGUAGUAAAAAUGAACGUUACAGAUGUGUUUUAUGUCAAUCUACUACCCACUACAACCAAGGUGAAGAGAGAAAGCAGUAUCCGAUGCAAACUACGACACCACCAGAAAAAA